GAUUAACGCUAGCGGCAGGCCUAAUACAUGCAAGUCGAGGGGCAGCAGGGUGUAGCAAUACAUCGCUGGCGACCGGCGCACGGGUGCGUAACACGUAUGCAACCUACCUUUAACUGGGGAAUAGCCCUCCGAAAGGAGGAUUAACACCGCAUAACAUCACGAGACGGCAUCGCCUUGUGAUCAAACCUCCGGGGGUUAAAAUGGGCAUGCGUCCGAUUAGCUAGUUGGCGGGGUAACGGCCCACCAAGGCGACGAUCGGUAGGGGGUCUGAGAGGAUGAUCCCCCAACUGGUACUGAGACACGGACCAGACUCCUACGGGAGGCAGCAGUAAGGAAUAUUGGACAAUGGUCGCAAGACUGAUCCAGCAUGCCGCGUGCAGGAUGAACGAUCUAUGAUCUGUAAACUGCUUUUGUUCGGGAAUAAACCCCUUCACGUGUGGAGGGCUGAAUGUACCGAAAGAAUAAGGGUCGGCUAACUUCGUGCCAGCA
This 489-nucleotide ribosomal RNA is filed under the name uncultured bacterium. RNAcentral describes it as "bacterial SSU rRNA". It matches the Rfam family "Bacterial small subunit ribosomal RNA", at positions 28 to 513 of the family's 1533-position model. The record is from RNAcentral.